AAAUAUUGUAUUUGAAUUUAAAUUGCUCUAACAUAACUUUCAUUUGCGUCAUAUGACUCGCACAUGAUAUCCAACAGUGCGUACAUGUUUUAUAUUGUUCUUCAUCUACUGAUUGCACAAAAUAAUCAAAAUACUGUCAUGCUAAAUAUACAUGUGAUUAACUAUAAAGCAUGUGACGUCAAUCUAUUGUCACGUUUUAUACUCAUCUUGUGUGUCAAAGAUCGGAGCAACCAUGUACUGUUUGCACAAUUACGACAGUUAUGAGGUUUUAGACACGGACUGCCCGG
RNAcentral lists this long non-coding RNA (287 nucleotides) under Mytilus galloprovincialis (Mediterranean mussel). Lineage: Eukaryota; Metazoa; Mollusca; Bivalvia; Mytilida; Mytilidae. The record is from RNAcentral.